Molecule: ribosomal RNA, 735 nt
Filed under: Lactococcus lactis
Lineage: Bacteria; Bacillati; Bacillota; Bacilli; Lactobacillales; Streptococcaceae
Description: bacterial SSU rRNA
Rfam family: Bacterial small subunit ribosomal RNA
Source: RNAcentral
UUUGAGCGGGGGACAACAUUUGGAAACGAAUGCUAAUACCGCAUAAAAACUUUAAACACAAGUUUUAAGUUUGAAAGAUGCAAUUGCAUCACUCAAAGAUGAUCCCGCGUUGUAUUAGCUAGUUGGUGAGGUAAAGGCUCACCAAGGCGAUGAUACAUAGCCGACCUGAGAGGGUGAUCGGCCACAUUGGGACUGAGACACGGCCCAAACUCCUACGGGAGGCAGCAGUAGGGAAUCUUCGGCAAUGGACGAAAGUCUGACCGAGCAACGCCGCGUGAGUGAAGAAGGUUUUCGGAUCGUAAAACUCUGUUGGUAGAGAAGAACGUUGGUGAGAGUGGAAAGCUCAUCAAGUGACGGUAACUACCCAGAAAGGGACGGCUAACUACGUGCCAGCAGCCGCGGUAAUACGUAGGUCCCGAGCGUUGUCCGGAUUUAUUGGGCGUAAAGCGAGCGCAGGUGGUUUAUUAAGUCUGGUGUAAAAGGCAGUGGCUCAACCAUUGUAUGCAUUGGAAACUGGUAGACUUGAGUGCAGGAGAGGAGAGUGGAAUUCCAUGUGUAGCGGUGAAAUGCGUAGAUAUAUGGAGGAACACCGGUGGCGAAAGCGGCUCUCUGGCCUGUAACUGACACUGAGGCUCGAAAGCGUGGGGAGCAAACAGGAUUAGAUACCCUGGUAGUCCACGCCGUAAACGAUGAGUGCUAGAUGUAGGGAGCUAUAAGUUCUCUGUAUCGCAGCUA